RNAcentral lists this transfer RNA (58 nucleotides) under Tetragnatha versicolor. Its description in RNAcentral is "tRNA-Pro". The record is from RNAcentral. Lineage: Eukaryota; Metazoa; Arthropoda; Arachnida; Araneae; Tetragnathidae.
UUUAUAGUUUAUAAAACAUCUACUUUGGAUGUAGAAAAAUCUUAAUUUUAAUAAAAAU